This 253-nucleotide ribosomal RNA is filed under the name uncultured bacterium. RNAcentral describes it as "partial 16S ribosomal RNA". It matches the Rfam family "Bacterial small subunit ribosomal RNA", at positions 524 to 776 of the family's 1533-position model. The record is from RNAcentral.
UACGAAGGGGGCUAGCGUUGCUCGGAAUGACUGGGCGUAAAGGGCGCGUAGGCGGUUCAUACAGUCAGAUGUGAAAUUCCCGGGCUUAACCUGGGGGCUGCAUUUGAUACGUGUGGGCUUGAGUGAGGAAGAGGGUUGUGGAAUUCCCAGUGUAGAGGUGAAAUUCGUAGAUAUUGGGAAGAACACCGGUGGCGAAGGCGGCGACCUGGUCCGAUACUGACGCUGAGGCGCGAAAGCGUGGGGAGCAAACAGG